RNAcentral lists this long non-coding RNA (425 nucleotides) under Drosophila guanche. The record is from RNAcentral. Lineage: Eukaryota; Metazoa; Arthropoda; Insecta; Diptera; Drosophilidae.
GGGAUUUUGGCUAUAUUUCCACAUAUUUCUUGCAAGAGCUCUGGUGAAUGUUGAUACUAGUUGAUACAAGCACUAUAAAAUUCGCAUAUUUGUAAGCCAACAGGUGCCAUAGUGUAUAGUCUAUUAUUUCUACUAUAGUUAAGUAAUAUUACAUUUUUUUUGUAAGUAUUCGAUAAUUGUUAAUUUUGUGUUCAAUUUGAACCAGCCUGUUCGUGUAUACUCAAGCAUUUAAGCCAUCAAAUAUGAAUACCUGAGCUUUCAUGGCGUUCGGAUGGUUUGUGCUAUUAUAUUAUAGGUGCUCGUAUUUUUAAAUUCUCUUUAGGUCAGUUUCCUCCUUCUCAAUCAACACUACACCAGCACUACAAAAUCGCACAUACAUACAUGCAUAUAUAUCCGCACGGUACACUUUUUUGUUUGAUUUUUUU